This is a long non-coding RNA of Gigantopelta aegis, 2272 nucleotides long. RefSeq lists it as uncharacterized. NCBI's taxonomy places the organism in Eukaryota, Metazoa, Mollusca, Gastropoda, Neomphalida, Peltospiridae. The transcript is spliced from 3 exons. The record is from RefSeq and is a predicted model, not a curated record.
UUCUUACAAAUAUUAAAAUGACCAGAAAUUCAUUGAAUAAUGAUAUUCUAAACAAGACAAUAUAUUUAAUGCAUAUAUUUAGACGUUGAAAUAUUUUAUUAGUCGGAAGCAUCUUACAAUGCAGAAGACAAUCCCUUUAAUGGCGUUCUCAGUUACGGAUCUGGAGUCUGGAGUUUUUAAGUCAGCUCACGAUAUCAAGAAAGGGCACAUACAUUAAAGUGUAAACAAAUUAUUGCGUGCACCUAAAAAAAACCUGAAAUCACUUUGUUUAUCUAAUUAGGAGUAUGUCCGUAAGCCAUCAUAAGAAAACAGAGAAUGUUUAAAUAAUGGAUAAACUUGGUAUUACAGGAGUUGUAUUUUAAAAGCGAUAUAUAUAUAUGAGGAAAUGUACCAGUAUGAAGAUAACUGGUGAACAAAUAUUAAAGAAGAGCUAGAUACGCAUUGAUUACACUAUAUAUGAAAAUCGACCUAUAUCCAUAUCAGUUAUCAUAUAAUUAGAGAAAGAGUAUGUGAUAUAUUUAAGCAACGUGCUAUAGGACAAUGAUUACUAUAUCAACAUUUUAUUUUUAAACAAUAGAAAAUACAAAAAUAUCUGACAAAGCCAACAGACUCAUGGAAUUUAAAAGAAAUAAUUGAAAUGAUAAUUUGUUCACGUAAAUAAAGUAUAGAAGCUGGUAGGUAUAAAAAUAUUGAGAGGACAUAGACAAUAGACCUCUGCAUACUAUGUAAUAUUAAUGCGAUUGAGGGCGAGUUCCACUGCAUUUUAUAAUGACCCCGAUACGAAACUUUCAUAAAGAAACUAAGACUGGAAACAUCAAGUAGAUAAAUAACCUUGGCAAAUACUCACUGCAAGCGAAUAUAACAAGAUAUUAUAAUAUAACAAUAACAUUAACCUCUCGGCUACCGGGUUGUCCACACAAAUGGAAAUUCAAAUAAACGUAGCUAACAAUGUGUGCUGCCAAACACUCUGUUCAAAUCUAAUAUAACAGUUUUGAUGUAUGCAGCAACUAAUUGUAUCUAUAACCAUUUGUUUUUACUGGCUGAUGAUACUUAUAAAAAUAAAUCUACAAAAAUAUAUAUGAAAAUAAUUGGUGGAAUGUGUGUAUAUAUAUAUAUACACGUAUUUGGCAUAUGUAUAUAAUAUAUAGCUAGUUAUCUAUCCGUUGACUGUAAUAUUUACAUGGCUAUUGGCCUCGUUAUAUAGGUAGUCACUUAAUACAGGUCAGUUAACACAUAAAAUCGUUCGGGAGGAAUGCAAGUGACCGCUAUGGACAGUUGGCUGCUGAACACAGGUAGCCGCUGAACACAGGUGACAUAGUAGGCCGCCGAGCACAGGUUGCCUCUGAACACAAGUGGUCGCUGAACACAGUUUGCCGCUGAAAUCAUGUGGCCGCUGAACACAGUUAGUCGCUGAAUAAAUUGAUUGCUGAAAAUAGUUGUCCACUGAGCACAGGUUGCCUCUAGACAUAGGUGGGCGCUGAGCACAGGUUGCCUCUAGACAUAGGUGGGCGCUGAGCACAGGUUGCCUCUAGACAUAGGUGGGCGCUGAGCACAGGUUGCCUCUAGACAUAGGUGGGCGCUGAGCACAGGUUGCCUCUAGACAUAGGUGGGCGCUGAGCACAGGUUGCCUCUAGACAUAGGUGGGCGCUGAGCACAGGUUGCCUCUAGACAUAGGUGGGCGCUGAGCACAGGUUGCCUCUAGACAUAGGUGGGCGCUGAGCACAGGUUGCCUCUAGACAUAGGUGGGCGCUGAGCACAGGUUGCCUCUAGACAUAGGUGGGCGCUGAGCACAGGUUGCCUCUAGACAUAGGUGGGCGCUGAGCACAGGUUGCCUCUAGACAUAGGUGGGCGCUGAGCACAGGUUGCCUCUAGACAUAGGUGGGCGCUGAGCACAGGUUGCCUCUAGACAUAGGUGGGCGCUGACCACAGUCCCAUAUUACUUACAUGUAAGAUUUCGUCAAUUAUCCAUGCCACUGUGGAUUUAAAUAUUUUUUAUUGGAAGAGUAUUAUUCACUGGAUGUCCCACCAUGAAUGUUAAUAUUUAAUAUAUGGCUAGAUACGACAGAAUUACCGAAGGUUUAGCACACAAUAGCCGACGAUGAAUAAAUUAAUGCACUGUAGUAAUGUCGUUAAACAGAGCAAACGUUAGUUUAAAGGGGCAUUUCUGAGUUUGCUGCAACAGAUACUUUUUAACGAUUAUAAUUACAUGUCAAAUAUAUUUUUUCUGCAUAAAAUAUUAGUGGCUGUAUUUUAAACGUGUCUGUACUAGGUU